Long non-coding RNA from Passer domesticus (house sparrow), 585 nucleotides. RefSeq lists it as uncharacterized. Lineage: Eukaryota; Metazoa; Chordata; Aves; Passeriformes; Passeridae. The transcript is spliced from 2 exons. The record is from RefSeq and is a predicted model, not a curated record.
AGGUGGAACUGGGAUCAGAGUUGGACAAUGAGACCUGGACAUCCCAAUGGCCAGGGACAACUCUGCCUUCAUCUGCUUCCUCUGAGGAUUGAGGGAGUGACUCAUGUGCUUUUAUAUAAUUUUCAAGUCUAGAUUAUGAUGUGAUUGCACUACACUGAUUUGACAAGAGACAGCUGAGACUCCAUAAAUAUGUCUAAGUGUCUAAAAUGAGGGAGUCAAGAGGAUGGAUCCAGGCUCUUUCUGGUGGUGCUAAGCAAUAGAACAAGAGGCAAUGGGCAGACGUGGAUGUCCAGGAAGUUCCACCUGGGCAUGAGAAGGAACUUCUUUACUCUGCAGUGACUGAGCACUGGAACAGACUGCCCAGAGAGGGAGUGGAGUCUCCCUCACUGGGGAUACUCAAGAAUCCUGUGCUCCUGUGUUCUCUUGAGCAGGGAGGUUGGACCAGAUGACUGACUGUGGUCCCUUCCAACCUGACCCAUUCUGUGUGUAGUUCUGUUAAUACAAAUCCUGUGUUAUUCUCGUAAUAAAUUCUGUGCUAUACUAAUAAUGAAAUGCUCGUAAUGAAAAUAAAACUUUAAUUGUUAA